GGGCCCAGCUCCGCCCCUCUCCCCGAUGGCUGUAUUAACGCAGCGCGCACAGGCUCGGUCUUUCCGUCCCGGCCUUGGUGGCCGAUCCACCCGAGCCGGUCCCCACUGCCCAGCCGUGCUGCUGCCUCGGACACAAGCGCAGGUUGAAAACUACAAGAAACUCGUGACUGAAUGGCUCCAAGGUGAAGUACUCUUGCAUGUAGUGACCAGGCUUGCCUGUAUCCCACUUUAGGAUUAGUGUCGAAGCUGAAAUAGGUGAAGUCCAUUUUACAAAUAGUGGGGGCCAUGUGAGUUUCCUUGAAUGGCCUUGUAACUGAUUACCCUGAAGGUAGUUUCCUAAAGUUUUUAAUCAAUGUACUAGGAUCCUGCCCCACCCCUUCUGCAUGUCCCACUGCCCUAGAAUCAGAUCUGCAUGGCUAUGACAUGCUGGCCAUUUUAAAGAUGCAAAGAUUUCAUGCUAGAUCAUCAGAAUGUAUCUGGACUUCGUUAGGACAAGUUCUUUGCUAGCAAUCGAGGUGUGUUAACCUGUAUAUUGUUGCCUAUGAGUAAUUUUCCAUAAUCUUAAAUAAAGGCUUCCUGUGUCAAUUCUAUGGCGGUCUUUUUCUUUUUGUGAGUAGUCACUCGUUCUUAUCACUGGGGUGGGGGUGGGGUCAGAACCACUUGGAGCAAUCUGUCCUUCCCCCAGGAUCAAACUCAGGCUGUCAGGCCUGGUGCCAGCCACUGCUAGCUGUAAGGUUAUUUCUUAGCAUUGUUUUUCCCUUUGGCCUUUCCAAGCUUCUGUAUCGUGCCUAUUGAAUGAACCCACGAUUUAUAUUCAUCUAUACCUUGUAUAUGUGAUGCUAGGGAUAUAACUUGUCCUUAGGCUGCAUGGCGCCUUUCCCUGGGCCUUUUAAUUUUCAGAAGUGGUUUCAUCUUAAAAGAAGCCAGCUUCAAGGAUACAAAGUUGUGUGAGUAUGCAGGGAGACAAUGGAAACUGUUACAAUUGUGUCUGAAAUGUCAAUUGUUUCUAUUUACACAAUAGCUUUAAAGUUUAAAAGGUCUCUGGCCAAAGUAGACAAAACUCUAGCACAGUUCGGCUAUAACUAUAUUGGCUACAUUGUACUGAGAGUGAGUACUCAGUAGCCACAUAUGGCCAGGGACAGCACAGUACAGGUUUCUGUUACUAUAGGGUUGCUGGUAGCUAUAUAAGCUACUCUGAAAACAUCUUGGUCUUUUUUUUUUUUUAAAGUGAGCAGCCUGUAGAUGUGCCUCCAUGAUGACAAAGUCGGGGUGUGGGCAGAGGAAGCUGGAGGAUGGGACGUUACCAUCACACCCUGCUUUUUAAUUGGGCCAGUGGGACAUCAGUAAGAUGAGCAGGAGUCUAAAACUACCUGGUGGCACCUGCACUAGCCAGAAAAAGGACACAGGCUGCAUUUAAUUGAAAGGUAUAAUGUAGAAAAAUUCAAAACAGACUGGAGAGCUCGCUUGUCACUUAGGGACCACUUGCUAUUGCAGAGGGCCUGGGUUUGGUUCCCAGCACUCACAGGGAGGCUCACAACCUCUAGGGAAAAGCUUGGGAUAUACAUGUAGUCAAACACCGAAAGUCUUAAAAAUGCCAAAGCUACCUGUAUGCUUUUAUGUUGCAAUUUCAGUGCUUAAGUUGCAGUUUUACAACACAAAGACGGGAAAGGAAAUAGGUAUAUAUUUACUAGGUUUUGAGUGUGUACUUGUUCAAAAUUAAGUCCAUUUAAAGUAGAAAUGAAGUUGAAAUAUUACCAACAAGUGAAGUUGUAAUUUGCAGGGGUAGAGGGCAUAAAGGGCAUUAAACUCACCGGUCCUCAUAGCCCUUAGAUCCAUGCACCCAUGAAGCCAAUGGAAGAUGUUCAAUAUGUAUUACAUGUUGACAUUUCCUUGAGAACAAUGGCCCUGAAUGUAUGCCCAAGUUACAGGUUCUUGUAUUUGCUUAGGCCUCUGCAAGAUCAUCAAGGUAACAAUGAGGGGCAGUUUUUCCAGAAGUGAUUUUAACUUUGCAGCUACUUUCACCUGUUGGUGUUCCUCAGAUUUUAUAUAAAUGCUGUCGCUGACUGCAUUGAUAAGGGCUCUGGAGGUGUAACAAAGUCAUCAGGCACUAUCAGUGUUUCUCAGCCUUCCUAAUACAGUUGGGACCUCUUUAAUAAGUUCCUGAUGUUGGGACCCCUAACCAUAAUUACUUCAUUGCUACUUCAUAACCAAGUUUGUUACUGUUAACAAUUGCAAUGUAAAUAUCUGAUAUGCAGGAUAUGAUCUGUGACCCCAAGGGGACCCAGAGAUCGAACCACUGUUAGAUGAACCAAGUUACAGCCAAUACUAGCAAUAGCUACUAUGGCUGAUUUCUCAAGCUGCUCAUGAAGGAUUAGA
Molecule: long non-coding RNA, 2376 nt
Organism: Mus caroli (Ryukyu mouse)
Lineage: Eukaryota; Metazoa; Chordata; Mammalia; Rodentia; Muridae
Source: RefSeq, a predicted model, not a curated record